GUACUUGGUUGGAUAGCGCACAUACUGAAAUUGGAAAGAUAGAAAGAAGAUAAGCAUGGCCCCCAUGCAAGGAUGGCCUACAGACUCUGUAGUGUUCCAUAUUUUU
Molecule: small nuclear RNA, 106 nt
Organism: Pteronotus mesoamericanus
Lineage: Eukaryota; Metazoa; Chordata; Mammalia; Chiroptera; Mormoopidae
Source: RefSeq, a predicted model, not a curated record